RNAcentral lists this ribosomal RNA (315 nucleotides) under uncultured bacterium. Its description in RNAcentral is "bacterial SSU rRNA". It matches the Rfam family "Bacterial small subunit ribosomal RNA", at positions 30 to 334 of the family's 1533-position model. The record is from RNAcentral.
AUUGAACGCUAGCUACAGGCUUAACACAUGCAAGUCGAGGGGCAGCAUGGUCUUAGCUUGCUAAGGCCGAUGGCGACCGGCGCACGGGUGAGUAACACGUAUCCAACCUGCCGUCUACUCUUGGACAGCCUUCUGAAAGGAAGAUUAAUACAAGAUGGCAUCAUGAGUCCGCAUGUUCACAUGAUUAAAGGUAUUCCGGUAGACGAUGGGGAUGCGUUCCAUUAGAUAGUAGGCGGGGUAACGGCCCACCUAGUCUUCGAUGGAUAGGGGUUCUGAGAGGAAGGUCCCCCACAUUGGAACUGAGACACGGUCCAA